Molecule: ribosomal RNA, 294 nt
Filed under: uncultured bacterium
Lineage: Bacteria
Description: partial 16S ribosomal RNA
Rfam family: Bacterial small subunit ribosomal RNA
Source: RNAcentral
GAUGAACGCUGGCGGCGUGCCUAACACAUGCAAGUCGAACGGACUAUUUUUUGGAAAGCUCUUCGGAACUGGAAUCUAAAUGUUAGUGGCGGACGGGUGAGUAACGCGUGAGCAAUCUGCCUUUCAGGAGGGGGAUAACAGCCGGAAACGGCUGCUAAUACCGCAUAAUGCAUUGGAUUCGCAUGUUCCUGAUGACCAAAAGUAUUUUUAUCGCUAGAAAGAUGAGCCUCGCGUCUGAUUAGCUAGUUGGCGGGGUAACGGCCCACCAAGGCGACGAUCAGUAGCCGGACUGAG